AAGCAGACCAGCUCGGGAUGGGCUCCCCGGAGCCCCUGCCUCAUGAAAGCCACCGAGCCAGCCCGGCGGCUGCUGCUGCUGGUGCCCGCUUUGUCUGAGGCCAAAGGGUGGCACUGGCAAUGGGGGCGGGGCGCCCACAGCAAGGGGUUGUUCCCCAAGCCUAGCCAUCUAGGAAGGCUUCCUGGAAGAGGAGCAACGGAGCUAGGAUGUUGCUGAACUGCAGCCAGAUGCUGGAAGGAAGAAGCUACACGCUUCCCUGAAGAGGACCCAAAGUGAAACAGCCACUGUGAGUGCCACUUUGAAACCUCCGAGGACAGUGUAACACACCUCCUCAAUUGUGGAUGCAUGGCCCUCUGGCCCGAAAUUCGGGAUCCUUCGUGUUACCUCUAAUUUGCUGUGCCCUGGUCUUACCUGAAGCUACUCUGGGUUUAUCCAGGUGAUUAAUUCUUCCACACCUGAAGCAGUUCUGCGAGAUGACUGUGUAUCGUUUUCAUUUAACUGAUGUGGAAACUGAGGUACAGAGGGGUUGUACCACUCCUGGGUGGCAAUGCUGGGAAAGACCCUCGGCAGGCUGGUUCUAGAAGCUUCCCCGAUUCCACACUAUGCCAAUGCUCUGCCACCAAGCCACACUCUUAUCUCAAGAUGGAACUGAAGUCCAGUGAGCCAGACGCUUAUAGCAGCAAGACCAGAAUCCUGUGAACUGGCUGCCUGCCUGACUCAUACCUCUUCAGCUGAUGGGCUUGACUUUAUCACCAACCGAUCUCCAUGGCCUGGGACCACUGACCCCUGCCUGACCUUGUACUCUCAAGUCUGCCCAUCUGUAAAAUGGAAGCCUGAGCUAAUUCCAGGGGUGCAAGGAAGCCAUGAGGAUGGCUGUUCAGAAAUCAGAGCCUCAGAGACCUUCAGCUCCACCCGGUUUCAUGUUGAGAUGAAAAGAGUCUACACAUGCCUGUGGACCUGAUUCAUGAAGUCACCCUCACAUUCCGGGGAACUGCUUUCAGGCUUUUAAUCCGUUGAAGGUAUCUGGAACUCCCCCGUGGAAGACUGGGUCUGCCACCCUAGGCUUAAGAUGCUUGGCCCGGAUAAAAGGAAACUGCCCGUGGCACUAGGUCGGAUUCGGAGGGGACUCUCCGUGCGCCUCCGCCUCCGCAGCCUCUGGCCUUGGCAUCUCCGCAGCAGGAGCUGGGAAACUUAGGUCUCACAGGUCCACCACCACACAGGGAUAAUCAGCAGGGCCUGUCUAGACUGUGUUGAGGACUCCGAAGCAGCCUGCAGGCAUGGCAGGGAGGGCUGCUGCCAUCCCCAGGGACGUCACUGGAUGGAGUAGAAGCAGUAUAGCUGGCAGGUAUUUGUCGUCUGGAUUUACUGGCUGUGAAGGGACGGAGGGAACCAAAGACACAAGAAAAAAAUGGACUCCUUAAGAUCUCUUGGUGACAAUAUCAAAGUUACAACUACCAA
Long non-coding RNA from Mesocricetus auratus (golden hamster), 1458 nucleotides. RefSeq lists it as uncharacterized. NCBI's taxonomy places the organism in Eukaryota, Metazoa, Chordata, Mammalia, Rodentia, Cricetidae. The record is from RefSeq and is a predicted model, not a curated record. The transcript is spliced from 2 exons.